Homo sapiens (human) is the source of this 3703-nucleotide long non-coding RNA. Ensembl annotates it as long intergenic non-protein coding RNA 1128. Lineage: Eukaryota; Metazoa; Chordata; Mammalia; Primates; Hominidae. The record is from Ensembl.
CCCGCCCCCGCUGCGCGCGUUUCUGGCCCUGCCAGUGUCUCCGCCGGUUGAAAGCGCGUGUCUGCGUCGGGUUCUGUUGGAGUGCGUUCGGUGCGCCGUGGGUCCGCGCUGCUUCCACCCAACUUCCUGUUAGUUUCUCUCCUGUCACAAUGGCAUGAUCUCGGCUCACUGCGACCUCUGCUUCCUGGGUUCAAGGAUUCUCCUGCCUCAGCCUCCCAAGUAGCUGGGAUUACAGGUUACAUUAGUUAUACACUCUGGAGGUGACUUGACCUGUCAUUGUGAACAAUUAUUGCUCUUGGACGACCCAGGACAUAGGCCAGCCAGUACGUACCCCAGUGUGUUGGAGAAUCGCGCUCGGCUUCUUCCUCUGUGCUGAGUCAUGAAAGUUGCCGGAGCAGGUGCAGUUACACAACCUCCAGGUAUGAUCCUGUUUAAGGACUGGAUUUAGGAUAACUACUUAGAGGUUAAAAGUCACAAGGGUGUAUGGAUGAGGCUGGAGUGAUCUGGGACCAAAGACAUCUAGGCUUGCUGUCAAGGCUUCUGAUCAACAUGAGAUGACCGCCGUGUGGUAAACUGAUGAACCCUGACCCUGAUCAACAUGAGAUGACCGCCGUGUGGUAAACUGAUGAACCCCGACCCUGAUGAACGUGAGAUGACCGCCGUGUGGUAAACUGAUGAACCCCGACCCUGAUGAACGUGAGAUGACCGCCGUGUGGUAAACUGAUGAACCCCGACCCUGAUGAACGUGAGAUGACCGCCGUGUGGUAAACUGAUGAACCCCGACCCUGAUGAACGUGAGAUGACCGCCGUGUGGUAAACUGAUGAACCCCGACCCUGAUCAACGUGAGAUGACCGCCGUGUGGUAAACUGAUGAACCCCGACCCUGAUGAACAUGAGAUGACCGCCGUGUGGUAAACUGAUGAACCCCGACCCUGAUCAACAUGAGAUGACCGCCGUGUGGUAAACUGAUGAACCCCGACCCUGAUCAACAUGAGAUGACUGCCGUGUGGUAAACUGAUGAACCCUGACCCAUUAGGCUUUGGCUACAGAAUGUGGAAAUAAGUUGUGUUACUACAUGUGUGUAAUCCUAGGGUGCAGGACACCGGCCGGGAGGUUCCAUAGAGUGAUGGGUUCUGCAGGUAACUCAUCCUCUAGUCCUCUGUAAGCUCCUAGAAGGAAGAAAUUAUGUCCUUUAGACUAAUAAAAUUCCUCCAAACCAAAUACAGCACCUACUGUGAAGACACAAAGAUACUUUUAGAAUAGUAAAAACUUUAUCCAUUGAGAAAUUCCUUAAUGAAACAGUAUCCAAGAAGUCAUUUGCCAGCAGAUUUCUUAGAGGUGCGAUAAAGAAGAGGACAUUGCCAGUCGUCACAGCAGCUGCAAUAGCUCCUCUCUAUUGUUAAACAGUGGGAUAUCUUGUGCAGGUUUUCAGUUGACAAUCAAUUUUAAAGAUUAGUUUCGGUCCCCAUCAAUCAAUUAUUUAUUAACCCAUCAAUAAAAAUUUAAAUGCUCUGUGAGGUACAAUAGCUAUUAAAAGAGACAGAGGCACUUUCUGUGUCCAGAGGGGCUUUUAGUCUGCUCUGGAAAGCAAGAUGCGUGCAGAUGAGUGACGCAGUGCAUCGUGUGGAUGCAAAGGGAGGGACUCACAUGGGAACCAGAGGAGCUACGAAGGGAGGCAGUGGGGACUGGUGGGUCGAGACCUGGAAAUAACACAUGAAUAGGCAACAAAGGUUUCCUUUCCUCUUCCAUGCACUUCAGUCCUUGAAAAACGUCUUACCACGGAAUUCCACAGCGUACCAAGCGAUUCCACAGCUUGAUGGCACACUCUCCUUUCUCAGCAUUCUUGAAAAUGGCGUGUGAGCCAAGCCAUCUUACUGAGAAAUUACCUUAAACCAUUUGAUGAACCAAAAAUAUUUUGUAAUACCCAUCUCCGACAUUAGGUAGGCAAAUCACACAGAAACACCGAGGUCUUCUGAGUCAUAUUUAUCUGAAAAAUCACAGCUUGGGUGCAUGUGAAGCCAGAGGAGCACUCCUGGGGCCUGCGGUGCCAUCACUCAGCUCCCCUGGGCUUCACAUGGCCAUGGAGCACCCAGCAAGUGUAGGCUCUGAGCCUUCAGGGAGGGGCGGCAUCAGCCAGCACCAUCGUCUCCUGGGUCUUGUGCCUCUUCCUUGGUUGCGGUGUUGUCAGGGCCAGAAUUGGGCAAUUCCGGGUGACAUCCAGGUGUGGCUGCUGACACGGAGCACAGGACACCCUGCUCCUGUGGUUUGCAGCCCCGGCCUUCUCUUCGAGGACGCCUCUGCUCUUCUGCCUCACACUCGGAUUGGACCUUCUUCAGCACAGCCAGUGGCCGAGGCUUCCUCCCUGGGGCUCAGUGGAGCAGGACAGAUGCUGCAUCCAAACUCUUCCAUUGGGUUCCAGUCUGUUCCAGUCAUGCCCUUGAGCCUCUAAAGCUCCUAGGUGAGAGACGUAGCAGCUGACAGCACUUCCCACUUGAUUUGGGUGGACUCCAGCCUCCCCAGCAACAAUAAGAGAUCAAAAGCAUCGUUGAGGAAGCAGCUUGCUGAAACGCUGAGUGCCCGCCACUCUCAGGUCAGGUGGGACCGGCAGGCCAGCAUGAGUUCCUGAACACUUGGUUCUCAAUACUGGCCACAGCCACACUGUAAGGGGAAACAAGAGGGCACUGUAUGCAAACAUCUCUUGAACUCUGGAGUCUGCUCACCUUCCUGCCUCAAGCCCCUCUCCCACGUGGUCCAGUCACCAUUCUCCACAGAGACUACCCUAAAACCCAGCGACUCUCGUGUGCCUGCAGAAUGGCACAGCCCGUUCUCAUAGCAGCACUCCUGUUUAAUCAGAGGGAUGUUAACGACCAAGUCAUAUUUGCUCGAUUUGUGUUCAACAUAUUUCAUUUGUACCGAUAAAACUUAAAAAUAUCCCCACACAUGCAUUGCCUAUUAAAGAGUAUCUUCCAGGUACACCUCCCUUACACAUCAGUUAACUUGAUAAUUUCUUCCCAUUCUUGUGCAAUAAAUUUCCUUCCUGAUCAGCUCUGUCCAGCAGCAACAAUAAUCCACGUAGAGACAUGCAAACUAAAAGUCCGUUAGUGGAGGCACGAAGCUGAUGAGGCUUGGAAAAAAAUGACCGAUUUGAUUAAAAUUAGGACCCAUGGGAGUGGAGCUCUGCCUAUUUUAGAGGCAAAGUAAAUGCCUGGGAGUCCAAUCACCGACAUUCUGUUUGAGGUUUCUAAUCACAAGGAAGAUGGAGAAAAUGCAGAACAAGUGGUCAAGAACAGGGAGAUAAUAAAUAGAAUAUUUAUGGGCUGAGGAAAACAAUUACCAGGGGAAAGCCCAAGAAGCAAAGAUGAACAGAGAACGUGCUGACUGCGCUCGUUUGGAAAGGCCUCAUGGCCAAAGGAGGAGAGGCAUUAUGAGGAGCAGUGACCGAGUGGGCAGGACCCCCGGGGAUCAGGAAAGGUGCACGGGGGGAAAUGAGAGGCCUGAGCGGCUUCCCAGCGAAGGUUUUUGAAGCACGGUUUGAUUUUCUCUCUCCCCCUCACCAUCCCCAAAUUUUAGUUGUGACUAUCUCCAGGUACAUGGCUUGCGACAGGCGGUGUAUAAAAACUAAUGUCAGUUUAAUUUUAAAACCUUAGCCAUUUUCUGGAACUUAAAUAUCAAAGAGAAAAUGUCCACAUAUGAUGUUAAUUGA